AGUGAACGCUGGCGGUAGGCCUAACACAUGCGAGUCGAACGGCAGCACAGUAAGAGCUUGCUCUUACGGGUGGCGAGUGGCGGACGGGUGAGGAAUACAUCGGAAUCUACUUUUUCGUGGGGGAUAACGUAGGGAAACUUACGCUAAUACCGCAUACGACUUACGGGUGAAAGCAGGGGAUCUUCGGACCUUGCGCGAUUGAAUGAGCCGAUGUCGGAUUAGCUAGUUGGCGGGGUAAAGGCCCACCAAGGCGACGAUCCGUAGCUGGUCUGAGAGGAUGAUCAGCCACACUGGAACUGAGACACGGUCCAGACUCCUACGGGAGGCAGCAGUGGGGAAUAUUGGACAAUGGGCGCAAGCCUGAUCCAGCCAUACCGCGUGGGUGAAGAAGGCCUUCGGGUUGUAAAGCCCUUUUGUUGGGAAAGAAAAGCAGCAGGUUAAUACCCCGCUGUUCUGACGGUACCCAAAGAAUAAGCACCGGCUAACUUCGUG
This 492-nucleotide ribosomal RNA is filed under the name uncultured bacterium. RNAcentral describes it as "partial 16S ribosomal RNA". It matches the Rfam family "Bacterial small subunit ribosomal RNA", at positions 29 to 507 of the family's 1533-position model. The record is from RNAcentral.